UACAACUGUUCCACUUCAACCGCGAUUCCUGGCUUCCUUGGACAAGCUGAUAGAGUUGUUAGAGAGAAGACCCUGAGUAUACUGAAUCUUCUUGAUCAGAGCAUCGUGGUGAAUCAAAAAAGGGAGUGUCUGCUAAAACGCCUCAUUGUUUACCUUGGAGAAGAUGUGGACAAACUCAUCAAGGAGUAUCAGGUUGUUCAGAAGGAGGAAGCUGAAACGGAGCUUGAGAGAUGUACAAUGGCCAUGUAUGUCAUCAAGGAAGAGGAGGAUCCUCUCCAGCCACCACAUGACAUUGGGUUUGUUAUUGAAGGUGUGCAGGUUGUCAGUGAGUUGCCAUCAGUCCUACAUGCCUGUGCCAUGUUGUUCGGCCUCAUCUAUGCUCUUAACUUGAGCUAUCCAAGUGAGCUCAAAUACACCUUUGAUGCAUUGCAGAAACUAUUCAUGGAGAUAGAACCCAAGAAAAUGACACGCAGAGUGUGCAGUCUGAGUGUCAAGCUCUAAAUAUUGGAUUCACCAAAGAGAUAUUGGAUACCGGAUGUGUUUUAUUUUGUGUUAUUGCUUGUAUUCAAAUAUAUUCUAUGAUAGAGGAAGGGGCCACUGUUAAAUGUUAAUAAGAGAAACAGAUUUAAUUAAAAACUGGCCUUCAAUUCAGAUUUUCUGUGUUCACGGAACAGUUUCUGUGAUAUAAAUAUUUUGGCACUGAUAUCAACACUGAAGUUUGAAUAAUGCAAAGUUCAUAAUUGCAGCAAUAAGAAUGGUAAUGUUUUUUUUUUUUUUGCUAUUUUAUACCACUUUAAGCUUAUCAUACCACAUUAAUGUGGUCAUAGAUACGGAAAUGUUGAUAUUGCAUUUGUAAUGGUUCAAAAUAAUGUGACAUUCAUACAUCUUGAUCAUUUUGUCCCAAGGAUGGUAAGUUUUAAGACUGUUAGACUUAAUGGUUAUUAUAUUACAUAUCUCAAGUUUUAAUGGAGAGGCGUACAAAAAAGUUUAACAUUAAUGUUGUUAAUGUUACAGAAAGGUUACAUAAGAUUUAAAAUAAAGUAUUGAAAAGAC
Molecule: long non-coding RNA, 1053 nt
Organism: Dicentrarchus labrax (European seabass)
Lineage: Eukaryota; Metazoa; Chordata; Actinopteri; Moronidae
Exons: 3
Source: RefSeq, a predicted model, not a curated record